Molecule: long non-coding RNA, 1260 nt
Organism: Platichthys flesus (European flounder)
Lineage: Eukaryota; Metazoa; Chordata; Actinopteri; Pleuronectiformes; Pleuronectidae
Exons: 2
Source: RefSeq, a predicted model, not a curated record
CCACAUCUACAACAACAGAGAUAAAUAUAUUUAGAUCAGAAUUAUCGCUCCCUCCAGCUUUUCCUGACAUAUCGAGUUCACGAGAAUAAGACAACCUGAAAACAUUAUGCCUGCAGCCACCGGGUGUCGCCGGUGUGGAGAAAUAAAACAUUUCACAUGAGUGUAGAAAGGAAGUGUGGAUGAAUGACCUUGGACAGAAUGAGGCAGCCGGGUGGAAUGUGAGGACAUCUUUUAACAUGAAGGUUUCAGAAGCAACAACAAUGAGGGUUUUACAUGAGUCAAUGUUGAUGAAGACCCGAAACACUAAUUGAAGUCGUGGUGUUGACUCAUCAAAAUGAAGAAGAACAGAUUUUGCAGCAGAAAACAGGGAAACACGGGGGAGGGGCUACACUCUGAGCUGUAACAUCGGAACUGGUGUGAGCCAAUGAGAAGCCAGCUCUGCUCACUUGUACUGUCCAAUAAGUUAAACUGGGCAGAAGUCGCCGCUCCACGGCGUCGGUGACUCACCAAUCAGCUCGGUCUUGAUGGCGUGAAGCUCGGCCGGGCAACUGUUGCUAACAUUGAUAGCAGGCGUGGCCAACCCUCCAUUGCUGCUGUAAACGUCCAGCAUCGUCCCAGAGACAGGCAGCUGAAACGACCAAUCACAACACAGAAUCAACGUCUCUGAAAUACAGAAAUUUGUUAUUGGAAUGAAAUCUAUCCAAUCAGCUGAGAGAAGAAAUGCUGUUGUGUAUUCUCAUGUGAUCCGUUCAAUAGACUUUCUGUUUUUUUAAGAAUCAUCAUGAAGUAAUGUGGAUUUUUAAUCCAACUUGUUUCCAGAGCAGUUUGUGAAGCAGCUCUGAUCUGAGGUCAGUUCAUGUUCCUCAGUGGAAUCUGCUGAUCGAACAAGAAAUGAUAAGAGCUGCGUCCUGCUCCCACACACACACAAACACACACACACACACCCACACACACACACACCCAUACAAACACACUGAUCAGGACUAACAGGGAAACCACAGAUUCACGUCUGACUCAGGGAAAACAUCAUGUUAAAAAUGAAUUUAGUACAAACACAUAGACAUCUCAGUGUUUCUGGAUUUCUCCUAGCCAAUUUGACAUCACAUAUUUAGAUUACUUAUUGUGAGUUGAUGUUUCAUUGAUCUAAUUAUUAAUCCUCUGACCUCUGCAGUAGAAAUGUUCCUGCAGUGUCUCUUAAAUCUGUACAACCUCAAUGAAAAAGUUCUGUAGGUCAAUAAACCAUAAUCAAUUAUUAAAGCA